GUGCUCACUUCAGCAACACAUAUACUAAAAUUGGAAAAAUAAAGAAGAUUAGCAUGGCCCCUGUACAAGGAUGACAUGCAAAUUCAUUAAUUGUUCCAUAUUUUU
This is a small nuclear RNA of Eptesicus fuscus (big brown bat), 105 nucleotides long. The record is from RefSeq and is a predicted model, not a curated record. NCBI's taxonomy places the organism in Eukaryota, Metazoa, Chordata, Mammalia, Chiroptera, Vespertilionidae.